GGGGAUUUAGCUCAGCGGCAUAAGCGCCUGCCUUGCAAGCAGGCAGUCGUGAGUUAAAUCCCCG
Molecule: transfer RNA, 64 nt
Organism: Cavia porcellus (domestic guinea pig)
Lineage: Eukaryota; Metazoa; Chordata; Mammalia; Rodentia; Caviidae
Rfam family: tRNA
About the family: Transfer RNA (tRNA) molecules are approximately 80 nucleotides in length.
Source: Rfam